GACGAACGCUGGCGGCGUGCUUAACACAUGCAAGUCGAACGGAAAGGCCCUGCUUGCAGGGUACUCGAGUGGCGAACGGGUGAGUAACACGUGGGUGAUCUGCCCUGCACUUCGGGAUAAGCCUGGGAAACUGGGUCUAAUACCGGAUAGGAGCCAUUUUUAGUGUGAUGGUUGGAAAGUUUUUUCGGUGUAGGAUGAGCUCGCGGCCUAUCAGCUUGUUGGUGGGGUAAUGGCCUACCAAGGCGGCGACGGGUAGCCGGCCUGGGAGGGUGGACGGCCAAAUUGGGACUGGGGUAAGGCCCAGACCCCUACGGGGGGCAGGCGUGGGGGAAAUUGGACAAUGGGGGGAAGCCUGAUGCAACGACGCCGGGUGGGGGAUGACGGGCUUCGGGUUGUAAACCCCCUUCGCCAGGGGAGAAGGCUUUUGUGACGGUAACUAGAUAAGAAGCACCGGCUAACUACGUG
Molecule: ribosomal RNA, 465 nt
Filed under: uncultured bacterium
Lineage: Bacteria
Description: partial 16S ribosomal RNA
Rfam family: Bacterial small subunit ribosomal RNA
Source: RNAcentral